AUGUCCGGGGCCGCACGCGCGCUACACUGAAGGAAUCAGCGUGUGCUUUCCCUGUCCGGCAGGACUGGGUAACCCGCUAAACCUCCUUCGUGAUAGGGAUAGGGGCUUGUAAUUGUUCCCCUUGAACGAGGAAUUCCCAGUAAGCGCGAGUCAUAAGCUCGCGUUGAUUACGUCCCUGCCUUUUGUGCACACCGCCCGUCGCUACUACCGAUUGAAUGAUUUAGUGAGGUCUUCGGACUGGCGCUCGGAGCGGUGCUUAGUGCCGGGCCGACGUGCCGGAAAGAUGACCAAACUUGAUCAUUUAGAGGAAUAAAAGUCGUAACAAGGUUUCC
Molecule: ribosomal RNA, 332 nt
Filed under: Trichocyclus balladong
Lineage: Eukaryota; Metazoa; Arthropoda; Arachnida; Araneae; Pholcidae
Description: SSU rRNA
Rfam family: Eukaryotic small subunit ribosomal RNA
Source: RNAcentral